CUAAUCAGUUGUUGUAUUCGACUGUAUUCACGGCGUGAAACAGGGGAUUAUACUGUUUUUAAACGGAAAGUGAAUCAAUUAACAUAAUAGACUCCU
Molecule: microRNA precursor, 96 nt
Organism: Nicotiana attenuata
Lineage: Eukaryota; Viridiplantae; Streptophyta; Magnoliopsida; Solanales; Solanaceae
Rfam family: MIR6152 microRNA precursor family
Source: Rfam